UACGAGAGGCCCAAACGUUAUUCGGAUUUACUGGGCUUAAAGAGUUCGUAGGCGGUCCGUCAAGUGAGGUGUGAAAGCCCUCGGCUCAACCGAGGAAUUGCGCUUCAAACUGUCGGGCUCGAGGGAGAUAGAGGUGAGCGGAACUGAUGGUGGAGCGGUGAAAUGCGCAGAUAUCAGGAAGAACACCCGUGGCGAAAGCGGCUCUCUGGAACGGUACUGACGCUGAGACGCGAAAGCGUGGGGAGCGAACAGG
RNAcentral lists this ribosomal RNA (253 nucleotides) under uncultured bacterium. RNAcentral's name for it is "partial 16S ribosomal RNA". It matches the Rfam family "Bacterial small subunit ribosomal RNA", at positions 524 to 776 of the family's 1533-position model. The record is from RNAcentral.